Molecule: transfer RNA, 72 nt
Filed under: Toxocara canis (dog roundworm)
Lineage: Eukaryota; Metazoa; Nematoda; Chromadorea; Rhabditida; Toxocaridae
Rfam family: tRNA
About the family: Transfer RNA (tRNA) molecules are approximately 80 nucleotides in length. Their secondary structure includes four short double-helical elements and three loops (D, anti-codon, and T loops).
Source: Rfam by way of RNAcentral
UGGGUAGUAGCUCAGUGGCAGAGCUCCAGAUUCGUAUGCGACAAGGCCAGGGUUCAAUUCCCUGCUGCUUAC